RNAcentral lists this long non-coding RNA (1254 nucleotides) under Monodelphis domestica (gray short-tailed opossum). RNAcentral's name for it is "lncRNA (ENSMODG00000033995.2)". Lineage: Eukaryota; Metazoa; Chordata; Mammalia; Didelphimorphia; Didelphidae. The record is from RNAcentral.
GAGUCACCUUGAAUAAGUACAUGGUUAUCUUCUGCUUUAGACAGAAGGAUAAAAUGAUAGGGCUAGCCUCAGGCUACCCUCAAGAGAUUAGAGACAUGGGAGCUCAAGGAUGGAAGAGAGGAAUAGGAAAGCAGCCCAUCCCUCCUCCAACACUGGGUUUUGGCACAUCUCAUUGACAGGGUUCCUUAGAAAACCGUGCAAUUAAUUCCUCCUUAGGUGAUUUUAAGAGAGACAGAAAAGAAGUAGGCGGUAGAGAAGGGAAAGGAGAACAGGGUAUCUAUAUAUAUAGUCUACUCCCUGGGGCAGGAGCUCUUUAUAGAUAACAAACUCUUAAGUGGAAAGGAGCUGUUUUAUGAACAUACUUUGCCUCUUGGCUUUGGGCCAUGAGAACAUGACAGUAGGCAAAAUGGCUAGGGAUAGAGGGGAGGUCAGGGUGUACAGGGGUAUUGAGAUCAGUCUACAAGCCCUGUUCUAUGCCAGGCCCUGACCUAGGUGCUAAGGGUACAAAAACCAGAAAAAAUGAGACAGUCCCCGUCCUCAAGGUGCUUACCUUCUCUGGGGGGAACAACACAUAUACUUAUAAGCAAAUACCAUACAAAGCCAUCUAUGGGGAGGGGACUCACUAGCAUUUGGGUGAUCAGGAGAGGAGGUCUCAGGAAGGACUUUGCAAUUGAAGCUUUAUAGGAAAGCUAGGGAUUCUGAGAGGGAGAGGGAAAGAGGGAGUGUAUUCCAGGUAUGGAACAGUAGGCAAAAAUCUCAGAACUGGGUGUGAACUGUCUCCAAGCAAUCCUGAUAUUCCACCUAGCCAGAGAAGCUAAAAGAUGGGUGACAUUGGUGUUCGUGGACAGCAGUGACCCGAUGGUGCUCGCUACUUCAGCUCUGCUGGCUUGCAUGCAUUGUGGGUGGCAGUUGGCUGGCAGUUGGUGGGGAUGACGGGUCCCUUUUCCACAGGACUUGCCUACGUGGAAGAUGGCUAUGAGAGCUGGUCUGGGCACAGGACCAGUGAUCUGGGGAGGGCUUUCACCCCCAGGGCUCCUGUGCUUAUCAGUUAUGAAGAGGACAACCAGUGACUUAAGUUGUAGGCAACGUUAUGUGAGAAAACUGGAUUUCCUGCCUCUUUCUGCUCAAUACCCUGAACCAGAACAAUGAAUCAACUGCAGAGUGUCCACUAAGCCUCUCUAUAUUGGUCGAUAUUGCAGAAGUUCUUCCUUUCAGUCUUUAGGCUUGUUUUUUUUUCUUUUUAGAUUCAGAGUC